This 523-nucleotide ribosomal RNA is filed under the name Thrombosternus cucullatus. Its description in RNAcentral is "eukaryotic LSU rRNA". It matches the Rfam family "Eukaryotic large subunit ribosomal RNA", at positions 318 to 645 of the family's 3401-position model. The record is from RNAcentral. Lineage: Eukaryota; Metazoa; Arthropoda; Insecta; Coleoptera; Curculionidae.
UAAUAUGACCACGAGACCGAUAGCGAACAAGUACCGUGAGGGAAAGUUGAAAAGCACUUUGAAGAGAGAGUUCAAGAGUACGUGAAACCGUUUAGGGGUAAACCUGAGAAACCCGAAAGGUCGAAGGGAGAAAUUCAUUCGCGUUUCGUAGCAGGCGUUGGAUGGUCGCGUGACGGAUAGUGUUCGCUCACUUUCCGCGCCUUCCGUUUUUCGAACCGGCGACGAACGCGUGCACUUUUCUCCUGGUAGGACGUCGCGAUCCGUUGGGUGUCGGUCUACGGCUCGCGGUGGAGCCCGUUCGUACGUUUUCGCGUACGGGCGGACCCGCGUGUCCUGGCUGACUCGCUCGACGGUACUCGAAAGGUUUAAGGCCGCUCUCGGAGCGUUCGACUCGUGACAAGCGCGCCGGACGUGUCGGCGAUCGGACCCGGUGCCGAUUCUGACCUCCGGUGACUGUUGGUCGCGAUGUUCUCGAACAGACCUAUAAACCGAUCUGCGACGCUAUAGCUUUGGGUACUUUCAG